RNAcentral lists this ribosomal RNA (522 nucleotides) under uncultured Glomus. Its description in RNAcentral is "SSU rRNA". It matches the Rfam family "Eukaryotic small subunit ribosomal RNA", at positions 569 to 1092 of the family's 1831-position model. Lineage: Eukaryota; Fungi; Glomeromycota; Glomeromycetes; Glomerales; Glomeraceae. The record is from RNAcentral.
AGCAGCCGCGGUAAUUCCAGCUCCAAUAGCGUAUAUUAAAGUUGUUGCAGUUAAAAAGCUCGUAGUUGAAUUUCGGGAUCAGUAGGUCGGUCAUGCCUCUGGUAUGUACUGGCCUCACUGGUUCCUCCUUCCUGAUGAACCGUAAUGCCAUUAAUUUGGUGUUGCGGGGAAACUGGACUGUUACUUUGAAAAAAUUAGAGUGUUUAAAGCAGGCUAACGCUUGAAUACAUUAGCAUGGAAUAAUGAAAUAGGACGAUCGAUCCUAUUUUGUUGGUUUCUAGGAUUGACGUAAUGAUUAAUAGGGAUAGUUGGGGGCAUUAGUAUUCAAUUGUCAGAGGUGAAAUUCUUGGAUUUAUUGAAGACUAACUACUGCGAAAGCAUUUGCCAAGGAUGUUUUCAUUAAUCAAGAACGAAAGUUAGGGGAUCGAAGACGAUCAGAUACCGUCGUAGUCUUAACCAUAAACUAUGCCGACUAGGGAUCGGAUGAUGUUAAUUUUAUAAUGACUCAUUCGGCGCCUUACG